CACAUGCUGUGAACUCUCUAUAAAAAAGAGCUUUUAUAUCUUUGAACCUAAAAUCAACCCCUCUUACAAUGGUUUGGGCUGUAUCACCAGAAAAAACAAACCCAUCCUCAAAAUUUCUGCAGAUAUAUUUGAAGAGGGAAAUUUGUCUCAUUGUCAAAUCCUGCACUUCAUCAACAUACACAAAGUCCAUUUUCUCACCCUCAUAGUUCUCAUCUCAAAGCCGUUGAUGAAGGUCAAUUACAAAGUCAGACAAAUCAAACUCCCCUCUUGUUUUCUUUUUCUUUUCAUAUUGAAUAAAAAUAUCAUAAAUCGUACCUCUUUCUUGUUCACUUAGAUGAGAUAACCUACGCCUAGAAUAGGAAAUAUAAUCCUCCCUACUUAGUUUAUCAUCUUGGACACCAACACAGGAACCUCCUUUUAUAUGAGAAACUAUCUCCGCAAAAAUUGUGGAUGGAUCAAGUUUCUUUGUUAGCUGUAUACUGAAAUGGGGCCAGUAAGCUGAACAAAACUUGUCAUAAUGAACCUCCUUUGUCCUGAUAAAAG
Molecule: unclassified non-coding RNA, 543 nt
Filed under: Hevea brasiliensis (rubber tree)
Lineage: Eukaryota; Viridiplantae; Streptophyta; Magnoliopsida; Malpighiales; Euphorbiaceae
Source: RNAcentral